AAACUUUUCUGAAGCUAAUAACCAUGCGGCCACGCCAUAUAGGAAAAUGGAUGCCCGUCUGCCUCACAUUCUAUGGGCUUGACGAUGCAACAAGUGUUCGGGAGUAGUUUAGUUUAUUUGCACAACAACGUCCAAUCGACAGUGUUCUAAUGAGUUUUGUAAAACAUUGGCCAAAUGUUUCCUAACGAUAAUCUCUGUAAACAUUUAUGACAAGGAUUUAGAUACACAUAUUACUAUCAAUGAACUGUUUUGCUGUUGCUACGUCCGAAGAAUUCUGAACGUUAUAAAAAAUAUAAUAAAUUUUGAGGUAUUCUCCAUUCUCAUCAUGUGUAUACUAGUCUAAUAAAAUAAGAAGUAGGUUUUCGCUACCCUGGACCAAAUCUAUCCUUUAUCUCAAGCAACUCUGCAGGUUCUGAUGGGAUUUGAGCCCUUUCACAGAUUCAUAUUUGCUAAAUCGAACUUUAAAGCACACAAAACACUGAUCAGACCGAUAAUCCUCUAAGGCCACGAGACCUGGUAAAUGCUCGUGGAGGACCAACGCGCCUUUGGAGUUUUCGAACGGAAAGUACUGCGUACCAUCUGUGGCGGAUGAAAAAGAUGGAAGAUGGAUCAUGACAGAGGCUGAUGAACCACGAGUUGCAUCAGCUGCUAACUAAGAGAAACACUUAUCGUAUAAAUGGCGAAAAUCGGGAGACUGUCCUGGGCUGGGCAUGUCUGAAGGAUGUCUGACGAAAGCCAGGUGAAAAUGGUUCUCGAAACUGGAACGAAGCGAGCAAAGUUGCUCGAUCAUGUGGAAACGACAGGCGAGCUGCAGCCAGGGCUUUGAAAAAUCCUUUUCUAUAAAGACGCUUGAACGUUUUCUCGGUCAGUUACAAGCUUUCCUUUUUGUGCGAUCCUUCGCUCAAUUUCAACUUGUACCUGCAGCACGUUCAAUUUCAACGGACGGUUGAAAGCAGAGCGAAUAGGAAACGAGCUGCGUGCAACGUUGCUUUCCGCAAAAGGACCGCCGCUUCGGCGUUCAAGUCCGCCGUACAAUCUUCUGUCGGCAGUCACGUGCCAUUUUUCGUUUGCGUUCAUGAUCGACCGAAAAAACAGUCAAUCAGUUUGAAGCAUUCUUACGUUUGAGGCUCAUGUGCUGGUGGUAUACUGUUGCACCUACAGUGCCAAUUUUUACUAACCGGGACCUCAUUCGUAAUGAAUUAACCAACGCUUACUUCAAUCAUCUGCGUCGAAUAUCGCUUAGCAGUAGAGUUUGUGAGUGAUAUUCAAUAUAGUCGUCAUUCAAGCCACGUGGUAAUGGCUUUAUGAGUAAGAUAGUUUUUCUCACAACAUCGGCGGGAAAGAAGAUAGGGUAGAACAGGGCUAGUUGGUUACGGGGUUAGUUGGUCAAUGAGGAUUACAUCAAACCAACGCAUCGAAAAAACUGUGUUUUAUUUUCACAUAUCAUUUAUAUGAAAAAAUUGUGUUAUAUGGGUGAUAUAAUCAGAUAAGCAAAGAAACUAAAUGACAAAACAAAGUGCAGUUGUGCAAAUUGUGAUUUAAAAAAAUGUUUAUCGUUGUCCGUCGGUUUAUAAAUAAAGAAUAAUAAACACCCGUUUUCAAAUGACAAUUCGCUCAUUAACAGAUUUUGAGCAGGUUUGAGCAAGAAUUCAAUUAAAAAUACGAAGGACAACGAUUAAGAUUUCUCAAAACCACAUUUUGCUCAGAAAAUUACUCUCUUUCAGCUGAUCUAUAACAAUCAGAAAACCAUAAAAACUUCAGAAUUGCGGAAUUCGGUUCGAGUUUUCAAUUUAACACAUGUUUUCUUUGAUCAAGAGUCCAUUCAAACCAUCAAUGUAAUUUCAACGUAUACACCAAAGUCGCUUUUUACGCGAGGGAUACGUGCCGCGUAAAAGGAAACCGCGUAAAAAAUAAUCGCGUAAAUUCCUGAAUCUACGUGAAAAAACGCGUGAAUUCCGGAUUCCGAAAUUAAAAAAUACGGAAUCCGCGUAAGAAAAAAAAACCGCGUAAAUUCCGGAAUCUGCUUAAAAAACCGCGUAAUUUCCGGAAUCCGCGUAAAAAUUACCACAUAAAAAAAGCUGCGCAAAAAACUGUAAAAAAAGGCGACCUUAGUGAACUUUUCGUCAAGCAAGGGAGACACUUUUUCAUCCAAUAAUGAGUAGCUUUUGCGAACGUCUAAGCGAAAAACUGAAAACGAUUUGACUUCCGCCUAAAUGCUACAGACUGCCGUUAAUGCAUUGGUGGAGGAAAACUGAAUUGUCCUUUCGAAAUAAAAGUUGUCACUUUACCCCACUCGCUGAUCAACUGCUACCCUACCUGAGGAGCUAAUUGGCCAAUCUGUCAACCGCUCAAAAAAGAUAAAAUACACUGAAGCCUUUUAACGCGUAUUACGGAAUUUACGCAGAUUUCACAACUUACGCUGUUUUUUUAUGCAAAUUUCAGAAUUUACGCGUUUUUAACGCGGAUUUCGGAAUUUACACGUUUUUUUUUUUACCCCAAUUUACGAUUUCAGAGUUUUCACGGUUGUUUUUACCCGAAUGUCGGUAAUAAUCCACGCGGUUUCUACUCGGAUUUCGGAAUUAACGCGGUUUUCAGAAAUUUCUCGUUCUUUUACGCGAAUUUUGGAAAUCACCAGUUUAUUUACUCAGACUUCGGAAUUCACGUGAAGUUUUACGCAGAUCUUACAAUUAACGCCAUUAUUUACCCGGAUUUUGGAACUUACGCGUUUUUCACGCGGAUUUUUUCCGCGCUACGUGUCUCCUCGUAAAAAAAAGAAACUUUAGUGAAUCCGCAAAAUUGCGAGCUGUUUAAUGUAGUUCAUAUUUUCGCAUAAUACAGCCAUACCUGGGUAGAAGGCAACCUCGAUUCAACGUAACUUGGUAUAACGUAACUUUUACCUAGAUAUAACGUAACUUUUUAAGAUGUAUUUAUAUUGAAUAUAAAUGAUAUAGCAACUGUUUUUGGGGUAUAAAUUGCUUCGAAAAUAUGUAGUAAGUUUUGAAACCAAUGAAACCAAUGCGAAAGUCCAAAUGGGCAUAAGAAAGGUUUUGAAAUACUAAUGGGUGAUGGGAUUAGGUUUUCACGCAUCCUUCAGUAACAAUUUACAGUCUUGCAUCAACUUUUUUUUUUGUUCGUUGAAAUUUUCUCUAAAGAAAAGCAUAAGAAAGGUUUCAAAUUACUGGUAGGUGAUGGGAAAUAGGUUUCCGCGCAUUUUUGCAUUUCAACAGUCUUGCAUCAAUUAAAAAACUUUUUUUUUUUGCUUGCUGAAAAAUUGUCCUAAAUGGGCUUAAGAAUGGUUUAAAAUUACUGAUAGGUGAUGGAAAAUAGGUUUUCGCGCGUCUUUGAGUAAUCAUUAACAUUCUUGCAUGAAUUUAAAAAAAAAUUGCUUCGAUAUAACGUAGCGGUAAUGAAAAUAAAGUUGCCUUAUAUCGCGGUAUGACUGUAUUACCGGUAUAAAGUAAUGGAACAUUUUUACCAAAAAUGGCCAACUUUUCCCGCUCUACCCUAAGUACCGAUUUAUGCAUUAGUCAUAUGUUACACAAAUUUCAAAGUUCUAUUCCAAUCCAAUCAGACAUACAAAAACAAAUACGAAAACAAACGCAAAACGAAACGGUAAGAAUGAUACCAGCCGCCCUCAUUCACUUCGUGUCUUGCACGUACACAUAAUCGGAGAGUGAACGUAAUUAACGAGCGCUGCCAUAGCGAAUGACCGCCACCUAGAAACUAAAAAAACGAUCAACUUUACUUUGACUGUUUUUUCUCUGGGCGAUCGCUCGACUGUAUCGAGCAGUCAAGUUGACUGCGGAAGGCGUUCGCAUUCGUGUUUUAACAGUCAACUUGCGAUCCUUUGAAAAGCACUGGCUGCAGCCAUGGAUCGAAUUGAUUGGAGACGACUUCUUCGAACAACAAGGGACACUACGGCCUGGAGCUGAUUGGUAAGAUGGAAAUAAUUAUAAGUGGCUCUCCAAAAAAUGGUGGGAAUACGAUCCUUGAGUUGUCAGAUAUUCGUUAAAAUUUGGAUUUUGGCAUCAAGUCUUGCUGAACCACAAGGACUGUUCUCCGUUCUUGUUACCUAGGGUAAUGAAGAGUAUUUUCGGCAGUGAUUAAAAUAGAAUCUCAAGGAUUAGGAGCAACCUACGGAACUAAUUGUUUGCUUGAUUACAUUGAACCACAAAUAUGAUGUGGUCGUCAUUCUCGGUUCUUGUAGACUUGCUACCACAACACUAUCGUCAAGGAAAAUCUGCUGACAUUGUGGUUUUCAGUUCCACAAAUAUAACAUGUGCUUGUGCUGUCAGUAACUCUUCCAACUCGCCUACCCUUGAACGAUGAAAUUCUACCACUAGUGCUAGUAGACUGCGGGCUCGUAUCGAAACUUCGACAGAAUCAUUCACUUAUUUGAUUUUGCUUCCGCAUUGAAGAACACUAUUGCAAUUUGAUCGAAAAAAGAUUUUUUGUAUUCAA
Long non-coding RNA from Wyeomyia smithii (pitcher-plant mosquito), 4461 nucleotides. RefSeq lists it as uncharacterized. The transcript is spliced from 3 exons. The record is from RefSeq and is a predicted model, not a curated record. NCBI's taxonomy places the organism in Eukaryota, Metazoa, Arthropoda, Insecta, Diptera, Culicidae.